RNAcentral lists this ribosomal RNA (775 nucleotides) under uncultured Neocallimastigales. RNAcentral's name for it is "partial large subunit ribosomal RNA". It matches the Rfam family "Eukaryotic large subunit ribosomal RNA", at positions 18 to 625 of the family's 3401-position model. The record is from RNAcentral. Lineage: Eukaryota; Fungi; Neocallimastigomycota; Neocallimastigomycetes; Neocallimastigales.
UCAGACGAUGCGUCAUGCAUAUCAAUAAGCGGAGGAAAAGAAACUAACAAGGAUUCCCUUAGUAAUGGCGAGUGAAGCGGGAAGAGCUCAAAUUUGAAAUCUUAAAGGGUUUCCCUUUACGAAUUGUAGUUUAAAGAAGUGUUUUCUGUUAGAGUUUCGGUAAAAGUUCUUUGGAAUAGGACAUCAUAGAGGGUGAGAAUCCCGUAUUUGACCGUUAUUUCUAGCUUUGUGAUACACUUUCAAAGAGUCGGAUUGUUUGGGAAUGCAGUCCAAAAUGGGUGGUAAAUUUCAUCUAAAGCUAAAUAUUGGCGAGAGACCGAUAGCGAACAAGUACCGUGAGGGAAAGAUGAAAAGAACUUUGAAAAGAGAGUUAAACAGUACGUGAAAUUGUCAAAAGGGAAGCGUUUGACACCAGUGUUGUUUUCUCGAAAAUCAAUUAAAAAAGGCAGGAUUUUGUGUUGUAUUGACUUUAUCAGCUUUCUGCACUCUUUUCUUGUCUUUUUUUAAUGCACUUUUCGUUUAACAAGUCAACAUCAAUUUCUUUUGUUGUAAAAGGGUCAUUGGAAGGUGGCUUUCUUUUCGGAGAAAGUGUUUAUAGCCUUUGGCCUCUGCAAUCGGAGAGAUUGAGGUCUGCAGCGUAGAUCCUUCGGGGUUAGAUACAUUUGUGCUAAGUUAUAGCCUUUCAUAGACAACUUGUUGGCUAUGAUCAGUCAUGUAGCUUACUCGCUUAUGCUAUUUUACCUACGCUUAGGAUGUUGAUCUACAGAGCGAGAGU